GAGGUUUAGCAAAUCUCUUAAAGCCGUUCUCAGUUCGGAUUGUAGGCUGCAACUCGCCUACAUGAAGUCGGAAUCGCUAGUAAUCGCGGAUCAGCAUGCCGCGGUGAAUACGUUCCCGGGCCUUGUACACACCGCCCGUCACACCAUGAGAGUUUGUAACACCCAAAGCCGGUGGGGUAACCUUUUGGAGCCAGCCGUCUAAGGUGGGACAGAUGAUUAGGGUGAAGUCGUAACAAGGUACC
This 242-nucleotide ribosomal RNA is filed under the name uncultured bacterium. RNAcentral's name for it is "partial 16S ribosomal RNA". It matches the Rfam family "Bacterial small subunit ribosomal RNA", at positions 1259 to 1500 of the family's 1533-position model. The record is from RNAcentral.